ACCGGAUGCGGAUCUCGAAAGCCUGUCCCAGUUCGGACUGGAGUCUGCAACCCGACUCCACGAAGUAGGAUUCGCUAGUAAUCGCGCAUCAGCCAUGGCGCGGUGAAUACGUUCCCGGGCCUUGUACACACCGCCCGCCACGCCAUGGGAGUCGGAAGUGCCCAAAGUCGGUGACCUAACCGCAAGGAAGGAGCCGCCUAAGGUAAUGCCGAUGACUGGGGUGAAGUCGUAACAAGGUACC
RNAcentral lists this ribosomal RNA (241 nucleotides) under uncultured bacterium. RNAcentral describes it as "partial 16S ribosomal RNA". It matches the Rfam family "Bacterial small subunit ribosomal RNA", at positions 1260 to 1500 of the family's 1533-position model. The record is from RNAcentral.